Molecule: transfer RNA, 72 nt
Filed under: Ictidomys tridecemlineatus (thirteen-lined ground squirrel)
Lineage: Eukaryota; Metazoa; Chordata; Mammalia; Rodentia; Sciuridae
Description: Spermophilus tridecemlineatus (thirteen-lined ground squirrel) tRNA
Rfam family: tRNA
About the family: Transfer RNA (tRNA) molecules are approximately 80 nucleotides in length. Their secondary structure includes four short double-helical elements and three loops (D, anti-codon, and T loops).
Source: Rfam by way of RNAcentral
CGGGUUGUAGCUCACUGGUAGAGCACUUGCCUAGCAUGUGUGAGGCACUGGGUUCAAUUCUCAGCAUCACGU